GAGCGGCAGUGACUUCGCCGCUGCUGUAGUUCCCCGGCUGGAUGCGGUGACUGGUGCCAGUGCUCAGGCGCCCGCUGCCCUUGACCUCCCGCCCCGCGAGCCCUAACUCAGCGCAGGAGGACCGGCUGCCGCCGCCGCCGCCGCCAGAGCCUUGGCUGCCCAGUUGCCAGUCCUACCACGGUCGGAGGUAACCUUCCUGGCUCCAGUCACAUGGCCAGAUAAGGUGGUGUGUGUGGGCAUGAAUUAUGUGGACCACUGCAAAGAACAGAACGUGCCCGUGCCCAAGGAGCCCAUCAUCUUCAGCAAGUUUGCCAGCUCCAUCGUGGGGCCCUAUGAUGAGGUGGUCCUCCCACCACAGAGCCAGAUCCACACAACUUAAAGAUCUGCUGUCGAGUGAAUGGGGAAGUGGUCCAGAGCAGCAACACCAACCAGAUGGUAUUCAAGACAGAGGACCUGAUAGCCUGGGUGUCCCAGUUUGUUACCUUUUACCCAGGGGAUGUCAUCCUGACUGGGACCCCCCCACCUCCACCCAGGUGUCGGUGUAUUCAGGAAACCUCCUGUCUUUCUCAAGGUCUCUGAAGGUCCAGACAGCACUGAUGGCGAGCUUUGGGUCCGCACACUCUGGAAAGAAGAGAGAAGUGAAGGCUCUAGGUAGGGAGAACAGAGAGCCACUGGGCACAGGCUUCUCUCCUCUUGUUUAAAGAAGCCCAGGGAGGGAUAGAGCUCUGACUGGACAGAAGACUGUACUCUGCAGCCUGCCUUCCUAGAGUUGGGUUGUCACUGUCCUGCAGGGGGCAGCAGCCACCAGCAAACACCACUGCCUGCAGGAGCCUGGGCUGACUGGUUGGGACUCACCGAAGAUCCCUUCUUCCUGGGCGGUGGCCUGCAGGAACUGGAACAGCUGCUCUGUGUAGCCCAACUCUGCAGAAGAGAGAAGACCUAGACCUGGCACCCAGCACAGACACAGCCUGCCUCGAGGACUGCAAGGGAACAAGGGCCUCACCAGUAUCGGGCAGCUGGCCCUGGCGGAGGAAGGCGGCAGCCUGUGCAAAGGCCUUGAGCAGCGGGCUGAGCAGGCGGCAGAGGAAAAGAAAGAAAUCUGGGCAGUGUGACUGCUGGCUGAGCUGGAGGGGACAGGCCGGGGUGAGUGCAGCUCCCCACCGCCUCCCUACCACCUCCCUCCAGGGGCAGCUUUUUGAAACACACCCUGAAGUACCGGCCGUCAGCCUCUCCGAAGUCAUCACUGUCACUAUCAGUAAAGUCCCCACUCGGUUU
This 1275-nucleotide long non-coding RNA is filed under the name Homo sapiens (human). Its description in RNAcentral is "long non-coding RNA NONHSAT182189.1". Lineage: Eukaryota; Metazoa; Chordata; Mammalia; Primates; Hominidae. The record is from RNAcentral.